This is a long non-coding RNA of Mercurialis annua (annual mercury), 480 nucleotides long. RefSeq lists it as uncharacterized. Lineage: Eukaryota; Viridiplantae; Streptophyta; Magnoliopsida; Malpighiales; Euphorbiaceae. The transcript has 2 exons. The record is from RefSeq and is a predicted model, not a curated record.
CCGAAGUAAUACGACACAGUUUUAGUUAUAUAUACAUGAUACUAUAAAUAGCCUUAUUAAAGAAAAUACCCUAAUUUCCUAAACUUUCACCCCAGCCGCCUUCUCUCCUCACCUCACCUCACCUUCUCUCUUUUCUUCUCCCAAUUCCCUGCUCUUAGCCAUGUUAGCCCUUCUCAUGUCUUUCAGUAGUUCUUAAUAUCAUCUUCUUCAUUUUUUUAGUGAAUUCUCGGUUUUGCUCGCAAAAUUUUAACCAGCGAAGAAAUAAAUGAACUUUGUUAGAGAUCGGAUCAUGAUGGUUGGAGAUCAGCUGAUGGAUGUGUCGCCGGCGGUGAUGAGGGUUGCUGCUUCGUCGUCAGUCCAGUCCCGAAUUUCGAAUCAGAAUAUUUAUUUUAUGUCUUUUGAAUCUGUAAUCUUAGAUCUAAAGAAUACAAUUAAACUUUUUUUUUAUUUAUUAUAUUUAAAAAUUAAUUUUUUUUCUAA